This 142-nucleotide small RNA is filed under the name Lysobacteraceae bacterium. RNAcentral's name for it is "RtT sRNA". It matches the Rfam family "RtT RNA". Rfam says of the family: This family represents a bacterial cis-regulatory element known as RtT RNA. The exact function of RtT is unknown although it is thought that it may be involved in changing the cellular response in relation to amino acid starvation. The record is from RNAcentral. Lineage: Bacteria; Pseudomonadati; Pseudomonadota; Gammaproteobacteria; Lysobacterales; Lysobacteraceae.
ACCGAAGGAUCGCGGAGGUGGUUGAGAACCGCCGAUGUGGUUCGACCGGAUCGCCGGAAACGAUCCGGAGCGCGACGCGGAAGCGGCGCGACCCGGAGGGCCGAAGGGCAGGACGCCCGGAGCAAUCCACCUCCCUCCACCA